Molecule: ribosomal RNA, 254 nt
Filed under: uncultured bacterium
Lineage: Bacteria
Description: partial 16S ribosomal RNA
Rfam family: Bacterial small subunit ribosomal RNA
Source: RNAcentral
UACGGAGGGGGCUAGCGUUGUUCGGAUUUACUGGGCGUAAAGGGCGCGUAGGCGGCCACCGCAAGUCGAUUGUGAAAUCUCCGGGCUUAACCCGGAAAGGUCAACCGAUACUGCGGGGCUAGAGUGCAGAAGGGGCAACUGGAAUUCUCGGUGUAGCGGUGAAAUGCGUAGAUAUCGAGAGGAACACCUGCGGCGAAGGCGGGUUGCUGGGCUGAUACUGACGCUGAGGCGCGAAAGCCAGGGGAGCAAACGGG